Molecule: ribosomal RNA, 1372 nt
Filed under: uncultured bacterium
Lineage: Bacteria
Description: bacterial SSU rRNA
Rfam family: Bacterial small subunit ribosomal RNA
Source: RNAcentral
GAUGAACGCUGGCGGCGUGCCUAAUACAUGCAAGUCGAGCGAACGGACGAGAAGCUUGCUUCUCUGAUGUUAGCGGCGGACGGGUGAGUAACACGUGGAUAACCUACCUAUAAGACUGGGAUAACUUCGGGAAACCGGAGCUAAUACCGGAUAAUAUUUUGAACCGCAUGGUUCAAAAGUGAAAGACGGUCUUGCUGUCACUUAUAGAUGGAUCCGCGCUGCAUUAGCUAGUUGGUAAGGUAACGGCUUACCAAGGCAACGAUGCAUAGCCGACCUGAGAGGGUGAUCGGCCACACUGGAACUGAGACACGGUCCAGACUCCUACGGGAGGCAGCAGUAGGGAAUCUUCCGCAAUGGGCGAAAGCCUGACGGAGCAACGCCGCGUGAGUGAUGAAGGUCUUCGGAUCGUAAAACUCUGUUAUUAGGGAAGAACAUAUGUGUAAGUAACUGUGCACAUCUUGACGGUACCUAAUCAGAAAGCCACGGCUAACUACGUGCCAGCAGCCGCGGUAAUACGUAGGUGGCAAGCGUUAUCCGGAAUUAUUGGGCGUAAAGCGCGCGUAGGCGGUUUUUUAAGUCUGAUGUGAAAGCCCACGGCUCAACCGUGGAGGGUCAUUGGAAACUGGAAAACUUGAGUGCAGAAGAGGAAAGUGGAAUUCCAUGUGUAGCGGUGAAAUGCGCAGAGAUAUGGAGGAACACCAGUGGCGAAGGCGACUUUCUGGUCUGUAACUGACGCUGAUGUGCGAAAGCGUGGGGAUCAAACAGGAUUAGAUACCCUGGUAGUCCACGCCGUAAACGAUGAGUGCUAAGUGUUAGGGGGUUUCCGCCCCUUAGUGCUGCAGCUAACGCAUUAAGCACUCCGCCUGGGGAGUACGACCGCAAGGUUGAAACUCAAAGGAAUUGACGGGGACCCGCACAAGCGGUGGAGCAUGUGGUUUAAUUCGAAGCAACGCGAAGAACCUUACCAAAUCUUGACAUCCUUUGACAACUCUAGAGAUAGAGCCUUCCCCUUCGGGGGACAAAGUGACGGGUGGUGCAUGGUUGUCGUCAGCUCGUGUCGUGAGAUGUUGGGUUAAGUCCCGCAACGAGCGCAACCCUUAAGCUUAGUUGCCAUCAUUAAGUUGGGCACUCUAAGUUGACUGCCGGUGACAAACCGGAGGAAGGUGGGGAUGACGUCAAAUCAUCAUGCCCCUUAUGAUUUGGGCUACGCACGUGCUACAAUGGACAAUACAAAGGGCAGCGAAACCGCGAGGUCAAGCAAAUCCCAUAAAGUUGUUCUCAGUUCGGAUUGUAGUCUGCAACUCGACUACAUGAAGCUGGAAUCGCUAGUAAUCGUAGAUCAGCAUGCUACGGUGAAUACGUUCCCGGGUCU